GACGAACGCUGGCGGCGUGCCUAACACAUGCAAGUCGAACGGAGAUGCUUAAGAGGAGACUUCGGUCAACGAUUAAGUAUUCUUAGUGGCGGACGGGUGAGUAACGCGUGAGCAAUCUGCCUUUCAGAGGGGGAUAACGUUCUGAAAAGAACGCUAAUACCGCAUAACGUAUUUGACGGCAUCGUCGGAAUACCAAAGGAGCAAUCCGCUGAAAGAUGAGCUCGCGUCUGAUUAGGUAGUUGGUGAGGUAACGGCCCACCAAGCCGACGAUCAGUAGCCGGACUGAGAGGUUGAACGGCCACAUUGGGACUGAGAUACGGCCCAGACUCCUACGGGAGGCAGCAGUGGGGAAUAUUGGGCAAUGGGCGCAAGCCUGACGCAGCAACGCCGCGUGAUUGAAGAAGCCCUUCGGGUGUAAAGAUCUGUCAGUGGGACGAAAACUUGACGGUACCCACAGAGGAAGCAUCGGCUAACUCCGUGCCGAGCAGCCGCGGU
RNAcentral lists this ribosomal RNA (495 nucleotides) under uncultured bacterium. RNAcentral describes it as "bacterial SSU rRNA". It matches the Rfam family "Bacterial small subunit ribosomal RNA", at positions 28 to 521 of the family's 1533-position model. The record is from RNAcentral.